Molecule: ribosomal RNA, 350 nt
Filed under: uncultured bacterium
Lineage: Bacteria
Description: bacterial SSU rRNA
Rfam family: Bacterial small subunit ribosomal RNA
Source: RNAcentral
UGGGGAAUAUUGGUCAAUGGGCGAAAGCCUGAACCAGCAAUGCCGCGUGAGUGAUGAAGGCCUUAGGGUUGUAAAGCUCUGUCAGGGGGAACGAAAAAUCGGUGUAACACCCGAUCUUGACGGUACCCUCAAAGGAAGCACCGGCUAACUCUGUGCCAGCAGCCGCGGUAAUACAGAGGGUGCAAGCGUUGUUCGGAAUUACUGGGCGUAAAGCGAGUGUAGGCGGCCUUUUAAGUCAGAUGUGAAAUCCCUUGGCUCAACCAAGGAACUGCAUCUGAUACUGGAAGGCUUGAGUAUCGGAGGGGAUGGUGGAAUUCCUGGUGUAGAGGUGAAAUUCGUAGAUAUCAGGA